Molecule: unclassified non-coding RNA, 926 nt
Filed under: Hevea brasiliensis (rubber tree)
Lineage: Eukaryota; Viridiplantae; Streptophyta; Magnoliopsida; Malpighiales; Euphorbiaceae
Source: RNAcentral
GCGGGUUUUCCGGUGCAAGGACGAACAAGGAAAAGCUGAUGCUUUGCCACGUGUGAUCAAUAAGAACCGUCGGAUAAAGAGAAAGUCGCAGCAGAGAGAGAAGCUGGAAGCAGUGAGUGAGAGUAAUUGAUGAGAGAGAGAGGAAGAAAGCAGGUUUGUCUUAAAUGAGGCGAGUGUAGCAGAGAGUGUAGCAGAGUGUGGGUGCAGUUACCAUGGCGGCGUUGCAGAAGUCUAAUUCCGUGCCAUUAUUGCUUUAAACAACGAAAAAUAAGUGGAGAAAGCUGGCUCUCUCCCAGUCAGGGAAACCCAUCUUCCAUAGUCUCUUACCCUAAACAAAAUUCUUUCAAUUUCAAUUUGAGUUAUUUUUUUUUUCUCUAUUUGCCUCAAAAAGCUGCAAAAGAAACCCAAACAGCAAGAUCAGAUAUUCAGAGAGUCAGAAUCAGAAGAAAGAGAAGGAGAAGAAGAAGAAGAUCAGGUCACAGACUCACAGUAAACACUCACUUAAAGUCUAUCUUAAAAACACAGCCACCGAUUUUCAACUCCCAACAUAAUAACCCAGAAAUCAAAGCCCACUGAUCUUGCAGAUCUCAAUAGCUACUUCUUGGUGCUACGUUUUUGCUAUGGAUUUUUGGUCUGAAUUGGGGUUGGUUUCAGCUUGUGGGUGCAAGAAAUGGCUGGCUGGUUCUAUCUAAGUGGGAGAGAGGGAGCAUCAAAUAAACAAGAAGAAGAGAAAGAUCAACCUAACAACCUGUUUUUAUACAGAUCAAACGAGGAGAUCUACAACAAGGGAUUUGAGAUAUGGCCGCAGUAUUAUCAGCAACAGCAAAACAUGAACAGCUACUCCUCGUUUGGAGUGGGUCCUAGUCGGAGAAGUUUCUCUGAUGAAUCUUCAAGAUCAGGCUUUACGGUGAUGAGGCAAGGUGGAA